AAACGUGUGCGCCGAUUGACUAAGGGUUCCUGGGUCAAGCUGAUCUGCCCAGGGUAAGUCGGGACCUAAGGCGAGGCCGACAGGCGUAGUCGAUGGAGAACCGGUUGAUAUUCCGGUACCCGCUAUGCAGCGUCAGACAUCGAAUCAGGUGAUGCUAAGUCCGUGAAGCCCCUUGUUUUCUUCGGAAGACGGGUGUGGUGGAGCCGACGGUCCGAGCUUGUAGUAGGUGAGUGAUGGGGUGACGCAGUGAGGUAGUCCAGCCCGGGCGAUGGUUGUCCCGGGGUAAGGGUGUAGCCCGAGGAGCAGGGAAAUCCGUUCCUCGUUACAGGGGUGAGACCUGAUGCCGAGCCGUUUGUGGUGAAGUGGAUGAUCCUGUGCUGUCGAGAAAAGCCUCUAGCGAGUUGUGUGNAUGCCGAGCCGAUUGUGGUGAAGUGGAUGAUCCUAUGCUGUCGAGAAAAGCCUCUAGCGAGUGCUGUUGCGGCCCGUACCCUAAACCGACUCAGGUGGUCUGGUAGAGAAUACCGAGGCGUUCGGGUGAACUAUGGUUAAGGAACUCGGCAAAAUGCCCCCGUAACUUCGGGAGAAGGGGGGCCAUGUCUGGUGAGGGCACGUGCUGUCCGAGCUGGGUGUGGCCGCAGAGACCAGCGAGAAGCGACUGUUUACUAAAAACACAGGUCCGUGCGAAGCCGUAAGGCGAGGUAUACGGACUGACGCCUGCCCGGUGCUGGAACGUUAAGGGGACCGGUUAGUCACAUUUCGGUGUGGCGAAGCUGAGAACUUAAGCGCCAGUAAACGGCGGUGGUAACUAUAACCAUCCUAAGGUAGCGAAAUUCCUUGUCGGGUAAGUUCCGACCUGCACGAAUGGCGUAACGACUUCUUGACUGUCUCAACCAUAGGCCCGGUGAAAUUGCACUACGAGUAAAGAUGCUCGUUUCGCGCAGCAGGACGGAAAGACCCCGGGACCUUUACUACAGCUUGAUAUUGGUGUUCGGUUCGGCUUGUGUAGGAUAGGUGGGAGACUGUGAUGCGGACACGCCAGUGUUCGUGGAGUCGUUGUUGAAAUACCACUCUGGUCGUGCUGGAUGUCUAACCUGGGUCCGUGAUCCGGAUCGGGGACAGUGUCUGGUGGGUAGUUUAACUGGGGCGGUUGCCUCCUAAAGAGUAACGGAGGCGCCCAAAGGUUCCCUCAGCCUGGUUGGUCAUCAGGUGGUGAGUGUAAGUGCA
This 1224-nucleotide ribosomal RNA is filed under the name Streptomyces nanshensis. Its description in RNAcentral is "bacterial LSU rRNA". It matches the Rfam family "Bacterial large subunit ribosomal RNA", at positions 1326 to 2359 of the family's 2925-position model. Lineage: Bacteria; Bacillati; Actinomycetota; Actinomycetes; Kitasatosporales; Streptomycetaceae. The record is from RNAcentral.